AUUGAACGCUGGCGACAUGCCUUACACAUGCAAGUCGAACGGCAGCACGGGUGCUUGCCCCUGGUGGCGAGUGGCGAACGGGUGAGUAAUACAUCGGAACAUGUCCUGUAGUGGGGGAUAGCCCGGCGAAAGCCGGAUUAAUACCGCAUACGAUCUACGGAUGAAAGCGGGGGACCUUCGGGCCUCGCGCUAUAGGGUUGGCCGAUGGCUGAUUAGCUAGUUGGUGGGGUAAAGGCCUACCAAGGCGACGAUCAGUAGCUGGUCUGAGAGGACGACCAGUCACACUGGGACUGAGACACGGCCCAGACUCCUACGGGAGGCAGCAGUGGGGAAUUUUGGACAAUGGGCGAAAGCCUGAUCCAGCAAUGCCGCGUGUGUGAAGAAGGCCUUCGGGUUGUAAAGCACUUUUGUCCGGAAAGAAAUCCUUGGCCCUAAUACGGUCGGGGGAUGACGGUACCGGAAGAAUAAGCACCGGCUAACUGCGUG
Molecule: ribosomal RNA, 486 nt
Filed under: uncultured bacterium
Lineage: Bacteria
Description: partial 16S ribosomal RNA
Rfam family: Bacterial small subunit ribosomal RNA
Source: RNAcentral